This 378-nucleotide unclassified non-coding RNA is filed under the name Hevea brasiliensis (rubber tree). The record is from RNAcentral. Lineage: Eukaryota; Viridiplantae; Streptophyta; Magnoliopsida; Malpighiales; Euphorbiaceae.
CAAGAAACCCAGUGGAAUAAUCGGCUUUUUGCACAGUUUGCGAUAAAGGUCGAACCAUUCCGGUUCAAACUCCGGUGAGCUUCUAAUAAUAAUGAGAUCAGCCUCUCCAACUGCAAAGCCAAAACGAACAGUGUCAUUCGGUCCUGUUUAAUCCUCUUUCGUUUCCUCCAAAUACUUCGUAACCUCAUGGAUUAGGACAGUGAAAUCCUAGGUUGUCGACCGGGAAUCUUCACCUUUCAUCAACAUCGACGGCGGGCCGACAAAGGUCAGUGUUGCGGCAGUGAAGAUACUUAAGAAGGCGGUUGAGAUGCCCAUUUCGGAGGCAAUAGAUGGAAGCCAGUGAGAGGGGUAAUUGUAAAUAACCCAGUCUGGUUUUGU